RNAcentral lists this transfer RNA (69 nucleotides) under Ictidomys tridecemlineatus (thirteen-lined ground squirrel). RNAcentral's name for it is "Spermophilus tridecemlineatus (thirteen-lined ground squirrel) tRNA". It matches the Rfam family "tRNA". Rfam says of the family: Transfer RNA (tRNA) molecules are approximately 80 nucleotides in length. Their secondary structure includes four short double-helical elements and three loops (D, anti-codon, and T loops). Lineage: Eukaryota; Metazoa; Chordata; Mammalia; Rodentia; Sciuridae. The record is from Rfam by way of RNAcentral.
GGGGUUGUGGCUCAGUGGUAAAGCGCUUGCCUAGCAUGUAUGAGGCGCUAGGUUCGAUCCUCAGCACCA